CAUAGUGUUGAUAGUAGGAAUAUAAAUUGAAAAUGCUUUUUUAAGUAAUGCAAGCAGCCAGCCCGGCCCGCCCGCGCCCGUCCGCAGCCGCCAGCCAGACGCGCCCAGCAUAAGGGAGAUCGUGCACAUCCAGGCCAGCCAGUGCGGCAACCAGAUCGGGGCCAAGUUCUGGGAAGUCAUCAGUGAUGAGCAUGGCAUCGACCCUAGUGGCAACUACGUGGGCGACUCGGACUUGCAGCUGGAGCGGAUGAGUGUCUACUACAACGAGGCCUCUUCUCACAAGUACGUGCCUCGGGCCAUUCUGGUUGACCUGGAACCCGGAACCAUGGACAGUGUCCGCUCAGGGGCCUUCGGACAUCUUUUCAGGCCUGACAAUUUCAUCUUUGGUCAGAGUGGGGCCGGCAACAACUGGGCCAAGGGUCACUACACGGAGGGUGUGGAGCUGGUGGAUUCAGUCCUGGAUGUCGUGCAGAAGGAGUGUGAAAACUGCGACUGCCUGCAGGGCUUCCAGCUGACCCACUCACUGGGGGGCAGCACGGGCUCUGGCAUGGGCACGCUGCUCAUCAGCAAGGUGCGUGAGGAGUAUUCCGACCGCAUCCUGAACACCUUCAGCGUCAUGCCCUCGCCCAAGGUGUAAGACACGGUGGUGGAGCCCUACAAUGCCGCGCUGUCCAUCCACCAGCUGGUGGAGAAUACGGAUGAGACCUACUGCAACGACAACGAGGCUGUCUACGACAUCUGCUUCCGCACCCUCAAGCUGGCCACACCCACCUACGGGGACCUCAACCACUUGGUGUCGACCACCAUGAGCAGGGUCACCACCUCCCUGCGCUUCCCGGGCCAGCUCAACGCUGACCUGCGUAAGCUGGCCGUCAACAUGGUGCCCUUCCCCCGUCUGCACUUCUUCACGCCCGGCUUCGCCCGCCUCACAGCCCGGGGCAGCCAGCAGUACCGGGCCCUGACCGUGCCCGAGCUCACCCAGCAGAUGUUUGAUGCCAAGAACAUGAUGGCUGCCUGCAACCCACACCACGGCCACCACCUGAUGGUGGCCACCGUGUUCCGGGGCCGCAUGUCCAUGAAGGAGGUGGACGAGCAGAUGCUGGCCAUCCAGAGCAAGAACAGCAGCUACUUCGUGGAGUGGAUCCCCAACAAUGUGAAGGUGGCCGUGUGACAUCCCGCCCCGCGGCCUCAAGAUGUCCUCCACCUUCAUCGGCAACAGCACUGCCUUCCAGGAGCUGUUCGAGCGCAUCUCCGAGCCGUUCACAGCCAUGUUCCCGCGCAAGGCCUUCCUGCACUGGUACACGGGCGAGGACACGGACGGGAUGGAGUUCACCGAGGCCGAGAGCAACACGAACGACCCGGUGUCCGAGUACCAGCAGUACCAGGAUGCCACGGCGGCGGAGGAGGGCGAGAUGUACGAAGACGACGAGGAGGAGUCGGAGGCCCAGGGCCCCAAGUGAAGCUGCUUGCAGCUGGAGUGAGAGGCAGGUGGCGGCCGGGGCCAAGGCCAGCAGUGUCUGACCCCCAGAGCCAUCUUGCUGCCGACACCGUACCCUGCUUUCCCCUCGCCCUAGGGCUCCCUUGCCGCCCUCUUGCAGUAUUUAUGGCCUCAUCCUCCCCACCUAGGCCACGUGUGAGCUGCUCCUGUCUCUGUCUUAUUGCAGCUCCAGGCCUGAUGUUUUAUGGUUUCGUUUUUUACUGGUUUGUGUUUAUAUUUUUGGGGAUACUUAAUAAAUCUAUUGCUGUCAGAAAC
RNA transcript from Nomascus leucogenys (northern white-cheeked gibbon), 1753 nucleotides. It is a transcript of the gene named tubulin beta-3 chain pseudogene, with no coding region annotated. NCBI's taxonomy places the organism in Eukaryota, Metazoa, Chordata, Mammalia, Primates, Hylobatidae. The transcript has a single exon. The record is from RefSeq and is a predicted model, not a curated record.